UGUUUUCUUUUUAUUUAUUUAUUAUUUGCCACUGUUUGAAAAUCAAAAUGACUUCAACUAGUGCCAAAGAUUCCUCUAAAUAUUUUUAUGUUGCACAUUGGUCAUUUCCAGGUGCACAUAAAAUAUUUCAGGGCUUUUGAAAAUAUACUCUUAUAUAUUAUGAAUAUAAUUCCAAGUCCAAAUACAGUAAUGAUUUAAAUUCAGUGCCCAAAAUAUUCCUUAGAAAUGUUCCAUACUUUUGGUUUGGAUCAAAACCAUUGCCAAAAAUAUCAAACAUCAAGGCGGAGCAUUUUGGGUUCAUUGAAUGCAAUUUUUUUAGCUGGACCUAAUUGAAUUUCAAAGUGCUAGGGUUUGAACACCCCCCCCCCCAUUUCAAGUUUCUUUGGAAUUUAAACAUGAUGCAUCACUCUAAUGCAAGCACUGACUAGGGUUGUGACAACUCACCCCCACUGAACAAGAAUCUCGUCCCGAGAUUCAAGAUGUGAGGUAAGAAGACAAAGGGGACACAAAGUCAACACAAUCUUCAUGAUCCAGGUUGCACUUCAUAAAGGCGUUGAUUCAAUCACCAUCUUUGUCUCGUCAUCUUGCUCUGAGAACUCCAGCCAACAUGACAACGAGAGGAAAAGGAAACUCUAGAAGGAUCGAUCUUCUCGAAGAUCGAACAAUUCAGGAUCAACUUACGGGAUGAGCCAUAGCAACAUCUCUCAAGCUGAGACACGAAGCACACAUCUAGAGGGAUGGAGUGGAACAGAUGACGAAGGUUCACUAGGUAGACAACAAUUCCACACCUAAGAGGGUGGUGAACGGUUGUCAACGUAGCGAGGAUUUGAGUUGCCAUGAUACCAUAACGAGACACCUUAGAGAAGGAUGACUCAUAGAAUUAUCCCUUAAGUGGCAAAAAGAAUUACUUUUGAUCCAGAGAUCAAUAAAAUUCUCUAUACCAGCCUAGGGCAAAUCUCGAGUAAUCGUUUGAAGGAGUUUGAAAGAAUGACAUACUCUGACUAGAAUGGAUGAUGUGGACUACCUUGUUGAAGACAACAUAAUGGAUGAUCUCUACUUAUCAUCGGAAAUGGAGGGAACCCGUGGUAGGAUGGCACAACGGCGGUACAAGAUGGGAAUAAAAUGCAAAUGCUGGGAAUGAUUGUAGUAACUAGGGAGAAACCCAACAGUAGAGAGUGAGUCCACUAUUUGAAAAGGUUAUAACAUGACCGAGGAAACUGGGAGCAAAUCCCAAUUAAUGCCAACGAUAAAACCUAGUGCUUGCGCGUGCUCUCAAGAACUUGAGCAUUUCCAUAUUCAUCAAGGUUUUGCCAAUAUCCGUGUAAAGGAUCCUGAUAACACAACAUACUACCAUGAUGAAUGGUGAUGGACGAUGCAGAUGCAAAGGAAGCUAACACCUUCUCAAAUUUCACCUUAACAAGGCCAAGGAAACAGAAUCUGGAUGGUCGACCGAGAGACAUUUAGCACUCCGCUUCUAAUGUUCUCCUUGAUGUGCUAGCGUAACCCAUUUAUUGAUAUGGUUUGGUAUCUAGGGCAUUAAGUAAAAGGUCGGACUUCGGGAAAGCAAGAAUCCAUAAGGAGCAACUUCUGGAGUAUAUCCUAUGAGAUCCUUAUGGGGAGGUGGCCAACUUCCUCAAUCAAGAUACUACAAUAAUAGGUCUUCCGGCUAGGUGUGUUGGCCACGACAUCCACUUUACCGGGUUACAGAGAGACCAAUAUUAUAGUUCUUGGGACACAUUCCAACCAUCAUAUCUGCCCGAGAUUCAGAUCUAGUUGGUGUCAGGAUAUUGCAGACUCAUCAAGUCUAGAGAGAAAAAUGAAAGUUUGCAACACAAAUCGAUGAGAUGACGUUGUGAGAUUCUCAGGAAAUGAACUACGAUAGCAAGCCCCAAAACAUGAGCUGGUUCUGCUACACCCAUGUGAACACGUUGUCCCAGACAAGCAUGAUCACAUGGUAGUCUUACAACAAAAUACUACCGAGUUCUGGUAGGGAACCAUCAUUAAUGAUAUCGAAGUCUCUGCGCGGAAGUCUAAAGUAAUAACCUUAGAACAGACUCCUUUAUCUUGAACAAAUCAAUCAGUGGCUUGGUGUGCUAGGAAUUAUGUAUGGAAUGGAGGUAGAGAGCCUGUCAAACCAUAGCAUACUUCACACAUGCAUGACUGACUUGGGAUGGUACCAGAGGAAGAAAAAACAAUCUUUCUCGAACUCACAGCGGCAACUUGCACCAAAUGCACGUGAAUCGGAGAAAGUCACUUCUUUCAUCCAACAUAUGCUUCAUGAAUGAGACAUGAAGAUAAUGCUUUUAGAAGUUUCCAACACUACUUAGAUGUUCAACAUGAAUCAUGGACAAGAUGGAAAUGUUGCCAAUGGGUUCAACAACAAUCCAUCCAUGCUUCCAUAUAGAUGGAAUUCCACAGUUAAGUGAACAUGGUGAUAGCAUUGGUCAGACCAAAAGAUAUAAUGGUGUAUGCUCGAGGGGUCAACCACGAGUAGGACAACAUUACGAACAUCGUUGGUUCUAAUUUGAUUUGAGGAUAUAGCCCACACCCAAAUCAAAGUUUGGACAAGACAAUAGAUCCAAUAACUGAUCACGAGGACCAAUCGAUGAAGAUAUCAUCUUUCUUAAACACACACACUCAAAAGAUAUCCCUCUAGAAUGAACUAAGUAAGGCAAAGCUUUUUAUAUUCCAACUCUCCAAGUUGUUGUUUAGCUUAACCAACUAGCUCAGGGGUAUCCAACACAUAUUCUUGGAGAAGGGGUGGUUUAUAAGAAACCAACUUGAUCACGAUAUCAACAUAGCGGUUAGGUGACAACCUGGUUAUACUUCCGAGAAGACUUACGAAAAAUCACGAACCACCUAUAUGUUAUUAAGCUCGAGAACAAUCUUGCUUUUUAGGGUAAGGCGAUAUGAUCAAAUAAGCAAGGAUUGGCACUAUCCUAACCCAUUGAUCGAAAAGUGCAUCGGAAAUAAGGGCUAGGUAGCACGAUCAAUUUUUAGGGUGAUGAUUCAAUAAUCAACACACUAAGAAUGUGGUUUUUGUCCAUUUAACUACCAAGAAAUGGAGUUGCUAGGAAUAUAGAUUUCACACAUCACGAUUCACUUGUCGGCAUUCUGGUUGCGACAACACGAAACCGAGGAAUGAACAAUGAUGGAGAGAAGUAUCACUAUGUCAAGAAUUCAUAAGAGAAGGUGCAAUUCUCAUGAAAUUCCUGACAUAAAGUGGGUAAUACUUUAGGGUAGAACAGAAUCAAAAGUUGGAUUGGCAUUUUGAUCUGCGAUACACAACUAUUUUGACCCAACCUGGAUAUGGAUGAGGUACUGGAGGUUGUUUCUCCUAGUCAUUAUGAAAUAGAAUGGCUUGAUGGACCACAAGAAUAAUGAGCAUCAAUAACACGGAUGCACAAUUACUCCUGACUAUCAAUUGAUAGACAAUGGUCAGGAUACAACUAAAGAGAACAACUCAAAUGAAUAUGUAAUUUUCUGAGUUGUGGACGCAUAGAUUAGUAUGUCAAACAAGUUCAACAUAUUUCUUCCGGAUAACCCAUGCAGAAGAGGAAGGACUGGCAGGUUACAAUAUAGAAUCGAGAACUCAUCAAGAGCACUCUGGUUGUGAUCUUUUGGUUCAAAAAAAAGAACUUCUAUUGAGGAUGGUUCAUGGUAUUGGAAGAAUGAUAUACCACAGACCUUGAGGACUAUCGCAAAGGUUGCUAAUAUCCUAAAGAAACUAGCAAACACUAUCAACAUGAAGUAAGUAGGGUGAAUCUCUUGUUCAAGAACCCAAGAAUAGAAUGCCUACUAACUAAAUGGCAUCACGGGAUGCUUUCGAGAGUAAUGGCCAGAAUCAUCACACUGGGGAUACAAAGCAUUGCUAGAUUACUGAGUGGUUCUCUAAGACGCCUAUGUUCAUACUAGUGGCUUCAACAUAUACGCCGAGGCAAUGGAGUACCUCAACUCGAUGAUUAUUGUGGUUAAUCUGGACCAAAAGGACAUCGGGAACUGGGAGGAAGGAUUUGCAAAUGCAUCAGAUUCUUUAGAAACCUGGGAUGACUCAGACAACAUAACGGCUGUAAAUGCUCAAAAAGUUUUGAGACAUCCUGCAAAAAUGGUGGCAUAACCAUGGGAUCAUCAUAGUAUCAAGGUUCCGACAUCAACUGUUAAUACACGGAGAUAGUAGGAACUGAACUGAGGCUUGAAUUCACCAAUCUUAUAAGUCUAUGGAUUAGUAACACGUGAUCCUGAUAGGAAGAAGAGAGAGCCUAGUUCCUUAACCCCGUAUGAAGAUAGGAUGACUUGGAUCAGAAGGCCAUAAGGUAUAAGGAGUAAAAAGAGCCUUACGUUCCAUCCCACAAUCAAUUCCCUUACAUAACUAAAGAAUUUCUAGACUCAACUUCGACCAGUUUGGCUUGGUAAUGCUACAUGCAGUCAGACUCUAAUACCAAAGCUGUCAGGACCCCGAUCCUAAGCCACAUCGAUCUAGCAUGUAACACAUCAUAUCGCUUUGCGGCCUCAUGCACGACAUUCCCACGGGUGCCACCUUACCAGGCCCGGGACCGUUUGUGCCUUUUGGCUCACGUAUGUGAUAGUGUCGCUAGCAUCCAUAUGACAGAGAACCCAGGCCCACACGACUAGUCGUGAACCCAAAGUGGCACUAACUUAUAAGGACAGGCAUACAUGACCCAACGAUGAACGUGUUGGUCUUCAGCGGGUGAUUUCGGGCUGUAGCAACUGGGCUAGCAGGACCCCGGGAUUCCGGGCUAUAGCAGGCUAAUAGGACUCAGUGGAAGCACUAGACUACAUUUCCCCAUAAGAGAGGCUACCAAGGAUAAACAACUAGGUUGUCGGAUCCCACACAUACCAGGCAUUUCAAAUCAUACACACAAUAUGCUCGAUAUGUGCAAAUACAACAUGGCAUCACAACAAAACUCUACAAAUCAAAGUAUUUAUUCAUUAGGCUCCGAGGAGGCAAGUAUUAGAAACAUGGGUCUCAUGACCCCACAUACAGAGCAUACAAGCAACAAGCACAUGCGGAAGCUUAACUUGUCUGAGUACAGACAACUACAAAUGAAAAAGGCUCGGGGGCGUCCUUGACGGCGCGAAUCGACAACGAAGAGCUCGGGUGCCCGAGGUUGAAGACGACCGCGAUGACGAUGAAGCAGGACCUCUCGGCAUCCUGUAUCUCAAUUGGAAUGACGAGGAAGUUGCGGUAGUGCUUCUGGACUCGGCGUUAGGGAGAGGGGUGGCCGGUGGCCACGGGAACGACGAUCGGCGUCGACGAGCUCCAUUCGAGAAGAGAGCAUAGGAGGGAUAAAGAGAGAGCCGCGUGGAAGGGAGAGGUCGAGGGAAACCAGGGGACUGCGUGGCAUCCAAAGCAACGUCGGGGAGGCGGCGGGAAGCAGGAGGUGGCCUGGCGCGUGGUCGCGCGUGUGGAGCACGCGCCUCUCGUCCUCCUGGCGAGAGGAGGGUGAUGACUGGCAGUUGGGCUUGAGUGGGUUGCACAAGAGCAGGGCCGACUAUAGUAGCAGGCCGCUAGGUAAGCAGGUGAGUUCUUCCGCUCUGUUUCAAUUGUGUUAUGUUGUCUUUUUAUUUAUUUAUUAUUUGCCACUGUUUGAAAAUCAAAAUGACUUCAACUAGUGCCAAAGAUUCCUCUAAAUAUUUUUAUGUUGCACAUUGGUCAUUUCCAGGUGCACAUAAAAUAUUUCAGGGCUUUUGAAAAUAUAUUCUUAUAUAUUAUGAAUAUAAUUCCAAGUGCAAAUACAAUAAUGAUUUAAAUUUAGUGCCCAAAAUAUUCCUUAGAAAUAUUCCAUAUUUUUGGUUUGGAUCAAAACCAUUGCCAAAUAUAUCAUACAUCAAGGCGGAGCAUUUUGGGUUCAUUGAAUGCAAUUUUUUUAGCUAGACCUAAUUGAAUUUCAAAGUGCUAGAGUUUGAACACCCCUCAUUUCAAGUUUCUUUGGAAUUUAAAUAUGAUGCAUCACUCUAAUGCAAGCACUGACU
This 5994-nucleotide long non-coding RNA is filed under the name Triticum aestivum (bread wheat). RNAcentral describes it as "long non-coding RNA (TAES_LNC010195)". Lineage: Eukaryota; Viridiplantae; Streptophyta; Magnoliopsida; Poales; Poaceae. The record is from RNAcentral.